Molecule: non-coding RNA, 25 nt
Filed under: Rattus norvegicus (Norway rat)
Lineage: Eukaryota; Metazoa; Chordata; Mammalia; Rodentia; Muridae
Source: RNAcentral
UGGCUGCUUUGUGGAUUGUUCUCUU